GAUUGGCUUUCCUCUUCUCCGCUGUCUCAAAAGGAGAUGAUGCAACUCGCCGAGGAGCUUUCGAGGGAGCGGAUUGCGUCAGGCGGCCCUCGCCUCGGGCGCAGCUUGGUGGGGAGAAGGCGGCAAAGGUGGAUGCUCCUCUAUUUCGUUUCACCAUGUGAUAAGAUUGGACAGCAGCUCUGAAAAGACUGAAGGCCCACUGUGCCAAGCGCCCACCUCUCGCCUGGAGCAACCUGAAGAAGUAGAAGUGGCUCUACUCUCCCUUCUCCCUCAACAUGUCUUCACUGGUGGCCAAUGUAACCAAGAAGAAGCUGAAUUCCAACCACGACGGGGCUGAGAUUUCUGACAAAAAGCAACAGGAAACAGUUGAACAUAUUGAUGAAGUAUAGAAUGAAAUAAACAGACUGAAAGCUGUUACUUUUUGUAUAAAGUCAAUUAAUUGCUAGUCUUAGCAUACCGCAAAACAUAUACAUUUUCAGAAUUGUUUUUGUGAAGGUUAAAACUGUUAAAAAUGAAAUGAAACACUGAUACGAUGAUUGGCAUUUUUACCAUUUUUUAAUUGCUGUUUGACGUAUUCCAUAUUGUCAUAGUUAUAUUGCAAAGAGGCAUUCUUAGCAGUAGCAGCUAAUCAAAAGCAUAUACCGUAUAUACUCGCAUAUAAGCCGAUCUCGCAUAUAAGCCGACCCUUAAAAAACUGCCCCAAAAUGAGGAAUCUGCCGCAUAUAAAUUGAGGAUAUUUUGUUCA
This 745-nucleotide long non-coding RNA is filed under the name Laticauda laticaudata (blue-ringed sea krait). RNAcentral's name for it is "lncRNA (ENSLLTG00000010763.1)". Lineage: Eukaryota; Metazoa; Chordata; Lepidosauria; Squamata; Elapidae. The record is from RNAcentral.